Molecule: non-coding RNA, 2186 nt
Organism: Pogona vitticeps (central bearded dragon)
Lineage: Eukaryota; Metazoa; Chordata; Lepidosauria; Squamata; Agamidae
Source: RefSeq, a predicted model, not a curated record
AAUCUACAGAAUAAAAUCAAUAGAAAUCGCAGCUACACAAUGGCACCAUUCCUUUUUUUUUUUAAAUGCCUGUUUCUAGAAACUAUGACAAUUCAGUCAGCACUCCUUCUUUGCAGAUUCUUUACCAGCAGAAUUCACUCUGCCACAAUGACAGUUACGUUACAUUUGCCAUGAACUUUUGGCAAACUGGAUGCCUCCAAGGAUCACAUCUUUGUGACAUACAAUAGGACCCUCUAUGCCGAGGUCCCCAAUCCCUGGUCUGUGGCCUGAGCCUAACCGGGCCAUGGAGAAAGACUUCCUGCCCCCCCCCGUGCACGCACUCACCCCGCACAGCUGAUUUGCACAUGCUGUGCGUGCCCGUGUGAGCACCGCACCGUCAUUUGUGCAUGCACACGAGUGAGCAAGCGUGCAUAAUCGCCGCACCACUGUUUGUGCGCACACACAUGUUCAUUCACACUCAAUCGUUCACACAUGUCCACGAUCUUGGGGGGUGCCCCGCCUUCCCCAGCCGGUCCGCGGGGUGAAAAAGGUUUGGGACCCCUAAUUUAAAGCCUGUGUUUCAAGGUGUGCUUGGCCAUUUUUGGCUACAGAUAUAACCAUUUUCCUGCUCCAGGUUUUUUACAUGCCUUUUUCUCUUGAUCAGGUUUAACUAGCCAAUGUGACUCGGUCUUUGCAGAGACUAAUCCUUAGGACUUACUAUGCAUAGGGUUAGAACCCUGCUGGGUUGAGGGCAUGUUUGUUCAACAGUGUUGAUUUAGUGAGAAAGCUUAUAUACUGAAGAGCUAAACAACAAAAUACAUUGUUUUUAGGCUCUGGUGUUUGGUUCUUUACUCUCUUUUUGUGCAGCUUUUUUUUGGGGGGGGGGGAAAUGCCAAAAAGCUAAGGUAAACAAAUGUAUGCACUUGUGCACAGGGUUUAGCACUAAUGAAGGUGGUACUGCUAAACGCUGGCUUCAUUGCAUUGGUUAUAAGGCAGUCAUUGCCCAGAGUGGUGAUUGCUUCCAGGCAAGCAAAUGCACAGAGAUUUACAAAACUUGGUUCUCCAUCCCACUCCAGUUCUGUGCUACAUGUGGUUAACCUAGGCAAUAUUAACUUUUGUGAAUUUAUUUGCAGAACUGGCGUCAGUUUUCCUGAAUUUGAUAGACACUAAUAAUUUCUAGGAAUCUAUAUGCAAAAAUGGUUUCAGAUGGUCUGAUCUGACGACAGUUUCCCCAUUUGUUGAAUGGCUUGUUCAGAGGCCAGAAGGGUUCUGCUCUUUCUUCAUUUUUAGGCAACACCUGAAAGUAGAAGAGCUGAGCCUAAUGUCCUUGCUGAGUUGUAUAACAAGAUUUCUGAAAUGAGAACUUAUGUAAAUUGCUUUUUUUAAAAAUAAUCUGUUCUAGCUUCUCAGUCUCAUUGCCAAUUAAUGUAAACUGAAGCAGAAAGCAAAGGUUAUUUUUUGCAGUGGGCAGUUAUGGUACGGUCAUUGUUAUUGAUCAAACCAAAUGCACUACCAAGAAUCUCGGAUGUUCACAUGGAUACCAAAAAUGGGAAGCAUGAAUCAGUUCCUCUCCGCGUGCUUCUCUGUGGUCUUCCAAAACAUUUGCUGUUGAAAUGCUACAGAUAGGAGAAAACAAGAAGAACAGCUCAGGAUCCUGUUUCAAACCCUGGAAGAUGAAAAGGCACCUCAGGGUUUAUUUUUCUGAGCUUAGUACGUAUUCAUGCACUCGCCAGCUGCCACAGGCAAGCAGGAAUUCCAUGUAGACGAGAGAGCAUUGUAGCAGGGAAGAGCCAGAGAGCUCCUUUUCUCCUUUGCACCAGACCUCUUGGACUACCAAAGUUGUAAUUCAAAAAAAGUAAUUUUCCCAAUAUCUGCCCUGCAUCCAGCACAGAAACCAGGCGGGCUACAGGAGGGAGGGGUGGCGUUCCCUGCCCCUUCCUCUACUAGCUCCCAGCAGUCAAAUCAUUGUUCCUUUCUUUUUGCAGGCUAGUAACUUUUGUGGUCCUAUUUCCAAGGCAGAAUUAAUUGUGUAUUUUUUUUUUACAAAAAAGUCUCGGGGGUGGGAAAUUUUCUUUAAGAUAUUUAUGAUGUUUCUAAUGUCCUAUUUCUUGUAAAAAUUUUAAGACGUUGCACUUGCGUUGUUCCCAUUUGUUGAAGGCAAUCUGAUUUGAAACGUGUCCUUAUAAUAAACAGCUGCUUGGAGACCA